UACAGAGGGGGCAAGCGUUGUUCGGAAUUACUGGGCGUAAAGGGCGCGUUGGCGGCCUGCUAAGUCGAACGUGAAAUCCCUGGGCUCAACCCAGGAACUGCGUCCGAUACUGGUUGGCUUGAAUCCGGGAGAGGGACGUGGAAUUCCAGGUGUAGCGGUGAAAUGCGUAGAUAUCUGGAGGAACACCUGUGGUGUAGACAGCUUACUGGACCACGACUGACGCUGAGACACGAAAGCGUGGGUAGCAAACAGG
RNAcentral lists this ribosomal RNA (253 nucleotides) under uncultured bacterium. Its description in RNAcentral is "partial 16S ribosomal RNA". It matches the Rfam family "Bacterial small subunit ribosomal RNA", at positions 524 to 776 of the family's 1533-position model. The record is from RNAcentral.